CUCCGAAACCUUAUCCAGCCCAAUAUAAUACCUAAUCAUUAGGCUUCGCAAUGGACGUCGCCUUGGUCGAUAUACAUGCCCAAACCGAGCCAAUGGAUCCCCAUCCCCGACUCGAUAAAUUGGACCGCGAAGACGAACUGGGGAUCUCCGCAAGGUUUGGAGAUGAAGCGGAAAGCGACGGAGGGUUCGAAGAGGGAUUUGGAGAGCGACGUCGUUCGACGUAGAGCUGGAGUAAGUAGAAGAGAGCGCAAAGGAAUAGAGAACCUAAUAUUCCUCAGCUUUAGACUACACCUGGAAAUGCCACUACAAGUCUUAUUCCGGUUACUCCGGCGCCGGGGAUGGUGGUCGGGUUCGGUUUAUUGAGUUUCGAGUCGGAUUUGGGUCAGGGUCAUG
This 393-nucleotide unclassified non-coding RNA is filed under the name Hevea brasiliensis (rubber tree). Lineage: Eukaryota; Viridiplantae; Streptophyta; Magnoliopsida; Malpighiales; Euphorbiaceae. The record is from RNAcentral.